RNAcentral lists this ribosomal RNA (585 nucleotides) under Conus vexillum. RNAcentral's name for it is "partial 12S ribosomal RNA". It matches the Rfam family "Bacterial small subunit ribosomal RNA", at positions 506 to 1403 of the family's 1533-position model. Lineage: Eukaryota; Metazoa; Mollusca; Gastropoda; Neogastropoda; Conidae. The record is from RNAcentral.
UGCCAGCAGCCGCGGUUAAACCAAGAAACUUAGUCAUUCUCUACGGUAAAAAGACAGUUAGGCAGGAGGCCAAAGCCACUAGACCGCCAGUAUAGGAGUAAAAUCUAGAUACUUGCAGUUACACCGAAAAUGGUUUAUUUAAAAUGUUGAGGCUGUGAAAGCUUUAAGGGAAACUGGGAUUGGAUACCCCAUUAUUUUUAGCUAUAAAUUUAUUGUUUAUAUACCAGAGUACUACGAAUAAAAAGUUUAAAACUCAAAGGGCUUGGCGGUGUUUUAGACCUCUCAGGGGAACCUGUCUCAUAAUCGACAAUCCGCGUUAAACCUAACCUUUUAUAGUAAUUCAGCUUGUAUACCGUCGUCGUCAGGUAACUUCUUAAAAUAGAGUAGUUAGCUAGAAAAUUUUAUUAAUUAAAACGUCAGAUCAAGGUGCAGCUAAUGAAAAGGGGAGGAUGGGUUACAAUUAUAAACUUAUAAUUACGGAGAGAGCUUGAAAUAAAGCGAUAUAAAGGAGGACUUGAAAGUAAUUUUAAUUACAUAAAUAAAAUGAAUGCGGCUCUGAAACGUGCACACAUCGCCCGCCACUCU